Molecule: long non-coding RNA, 691 nt
Organism: Humulus lupulus (European hop)
Lineage: Eukaryota; Viridiplantae; Streptophyta; Magnoliopsida; Rosales; Cannabaceae
Exons: 2
Source: RefSeq, a predicted model, not a curated record
CUUUCCAUUAAAUUUAUGUAUUUAUAAGCCUUAUUUCAAAGGAUUGUGAAUAGUCGAUAUGUCCGAGUGGUUGAGGAGACUGGCUCGAAUCCUGCUGUCGACGUUUGUUGACUGCAGCAUAUGUUGUUUUUUUUCCCUAAAACUAAUACACUAAAUAAUCAACUUUUGAUUCUUCAACUCCAAGUCAUUCCAAUUUCAGUUUCUUCCGAAUACAGCCAAAAGCAACAAAUAUGAUACCAAACUUAGAUCUCUUCCUUCUUGCAUUCGUUCAUGGCUCCUUCAUCGUGGCCAUCCUUCUUCUUGCUGUAUCACUUGUUUUCAUCAUUUUCUUUUCCACUUUUAUUUUUGGGCUCUUCUCUAUCAUUGUCGUGGAUUUGCUUGAUUUAUCACCAAAUAUUUCUUCGCGCUUACAAUCGGCCAAGGCAGAUGUUCAUUUAGGUUCGGUUGUGGUUCUUUGUGCAUUUUUGAAUCGUCUUGUUUCUAUUAUCCUAUCGCUAAAACCUUCUUUUGAUCGUUUUGUUUCAAAUUUUAAAUCAAAUGCACAUCGUUUAAUUAUGGAAUAUGUCGAUGCAUUUAAACAUACUUAAAGAUUCAAUUUUAGUUAAUUUCUUGUAAUUUGUUGUUGCUCAUGCUGUAAUUCAGCUAUUCAUCUUAUUAAUAAUAAAUCUAUACUGUGUAUGUACUAUCCUUA